Molecule: ribosomal RNA, 468 nt
Filed under: uncultured bacterium
Lineage: Bacteria
Description: partial 16S ribosomal RNA
Rfam family: Bacterial small subunit ribosomal RNA
Source: RNAcentral
GACGAACGCUGGCGGCGUGCUUAACACAUGCAAGUCGAACGGAAAGGCCCUGCUUUUGUGGGGUGCUCGAGUGGCGAACGGGUGAGUAACACGUGAGUAACCUGCCCUUGACUUUGGGAUAACUUCAGGAAACUGGGGCUAAUACCGGAUCGGUGCUCCUGCUGCAUGGUGGGGGUUGGAAAGUUUCGGCGGUUGGGGAUGGACUCGCGGCUUAUCAGCUUGUUGGUGGGGUAGUGGCUUACCAAGGCUUUGACGGGUAGCCGGCCUGAGAGGGUGACCGGCCACAUUGGGACUGAGAUACGGCCCAGACGCCUACGGGAGGCAGCAGUGGGGAAUAUUGCACAAUGGGCGGAAGCCUGAUGCAGCAACGCCGCGUGCGGGAUGACGGCCUUCGGGUUGUAAACCGCUUUCGCCUGUGACGAAGCGUGAGUGACGGUAAUGGGUAAAGAAGCACCGGCUAACUACGUG